RNAcentral lists this ribosomal RNA (640 nucleotides) under uncultured bacterium. RNAcentral describes it as "bacterial SSU rRNA". The stretch from base 1 to 535 matches the Rfam family "Bacterial small subunit ribosomal RNA", at positions 338 to 873 of the family's 1533-position model. The record is from RNAcentral.
CCUACGGGAGGCAGCAGUGAGGAAUAUUGGACAAUGGGCGCAAGCCUGAUCCAGCCAUGCCGCGUGCAGGAAGAAGCAUCUAUGGUGUGUAAACUGCUUUUGUACAGGAAGAAACACUCCCUCGUGAGGGAGCUUGACGGUACUGUAAGAAUAAGGACCGGCUAACUCCGUGCCAGCAGCCGCGGUAAUACGGAGGGUCCGAGCGUUAUCCGGAAUCAUUGGGUUUAAAGGGUCCGUAGGCGGUUUAAUAAGUCAGUGGUGAAAUCUGGUCGCUCAACGAUCAAACGGCCAUUGAUACUGUUAGACUUGAAUUAUAAGGAAGUAACUAGAAUAUGUAGUGUAGCGGUGAAAUGCUUAGAUAUUACAUGGAAUACCAAUUGCGAAGGCAGGUUACUACUUAUGGAUUGACGCUGAUGGACGAAAGCGUGGGGAGCGAACAGGAUUAGAUACCCUGGUAGUCCACGCCGUAAACGAUGGAUACUAGCUGUCGUAGCAUCUGAGUGGNGUAGACGAAGUAGAGUAAGUAAGUACCACCGUACGGGAGGUACGGUUAACGGUCGAAGAAGUUAGUAAACGUUAAAGGUUAAAGUUAGUUACGGCGUUGAGACGUUAGCGACGGACGACGACGAGGGAGGAGGAG